RNAcentral lists this ribosomal RNA (477 nucleotides) under uncultured bacterium. RNAcentral's name for it is "bacterial SSU rRNA". It matches the Rfam family "Bacterial small subunit ribosomal RNA", at positions 29 to 492 of the family's 1533-position model. The record is from RNAcentral.
AUUGAACGCUGGCGGCAUGCCUAACACAUGCAAGUCGAACGGCAGCACGGCAGUAGCAAUACUGUGGGUGGCGAGUGGCGGACGGGUGAGGAAUACGUCGGAAUCUGCCCAGUCGUGGGGGAUAACUAGCCGAAAGGUUAGCUAAUACCGCAUACGACCGAGAGGUGAAAGCGGGGGACCGGCAAGGCCUCGCGCGAUUGGAUGAGCCGACGUCGGAUUAGCUAGUUGGUGGGGUAAAGGCCCACCAAGGCGACGAUCCGUAGCUGGUCUGAGAGGAUGAUCAGCCACACUGGAACUGAGACACGGUCCAGACUCCUACGGGAGGCAGCAGUGGGGAAUAUUGGACAAUGGGCGCAAGCCUGAUCCAGCAAUGCCGCGUGUGUGAAGAAGGACUUCGGGUUGUAAAGCACUUUUAUCAGGAACGAAAAGACGUUGGAUUAAUACUCUGACGUGCUGACGGUACCUGAGGAAUAAGCA